UUCACCGCAGCGCUCUUCGCGGUAGCCGCGGCGCGCCCCUGCGUGUCCGUGAGCGGAGCGGAUACAGAGGAGGGGCGCUCGCGCGCACGAUGGGUGCCGCUCGGCCGUGAAAAAGGAGGCCGUGCCGCCAUCUGUGACGGCGAUGGACCCGGAGGGCCGUAGGGUUCACAUGUAUAAAUUACAAAAAGAAGAUCCCAUCAGGAAAUUGUAUGGAGGUUCUACUCGAGUAAUUCAGCACAACUUAGCAGAGAGAAAGGAGAAGGCCCAGGAGGCACCUUACGUUGAUUGUACCCAGUGUUAAAACUCCUAAGAAGCCCUGGCUUGAUGACAGCAGCAGAGGGAAGAGAACAGGAGCAAGUAGAGGAGAAGUGAGAAAGAACGCAG
This is a long non-coding RNA of Physeter macrocephalus (sperm whale), 384 nucleotides long. RefSeq lists it as uncharacterized. The record is from RefSeq and is a predicted model, not a curated record. The transcript has 3 exons. NCBI's taxonomy places the organism in Eukaryota, Metazoa, Chordata, Mammalia, Artiodactyla, Physeteridae.